GUGAGUCAUCGAAUCUUUGAACGCACAUUGCGCCCCUUGGUAUUCCGAGGGGCAUGCCUGUUCGAGCGUCAUUUCAACCCCCUCAAGCUCUGCUUGGUGUUGGGCCUCGCCGCGCCGCGGCGGGCCUUAAAAUCAGUGGCGGUGCCCGUCUGGCUCCAAGCGUAGUAACUUCUCUCGCUCCGGAGGCCCGGCGGUUGCUUGCCAGACAACCCUCUACAUUUCUCACGGUUGACCUCGGAUCAGGUAGGGAUACCCGCUGAACUUAAGCAUAUCAAUAAGCGGAGGA
Molecule: unclassified non-coding RNA, 286 nt
Filed under: Arthrographis sp.
Lineage: Eukaryota; Fungi; Ascomycota; Dothideomycetes; Eremomycetales; Eremomycetaceae
Description: partial contains 5.8S ribosomal RNA, internal transcribed spacer 2, and large subunit ribosomal RNA
Rfam family: 5.8S ribosomal RNA (bases 1-71)
Source: RNAcentral